AGUCUUGCUUCUUCUCCCUGAUUCACCUGAACUCUUCCCUUCCCUAGAGGCUGCCAACCCUCCUCCCCACCUGCGCGCUCGCUCACCUGCCCUUGCGAUUGCAACUCUCCUGCGUCCCUCGAGGUAGUUUCUUCACUCUUCCUCCGGGCUUGUCCUUCCCCUCGUGGCUUCAACAGCCUGCCCUGCCUUCCGACCUGUAGUCUCUCGGAGACCCUCCUCCGCUUUUCAGACACUUUCAACUACUUCUUUACUUUUCCAGUUACCAAGUUUCUGCUCCCACCCUCUCCUCACCUCCCCUUCCCAUUGAUCUUUCCUAAGAGUCACGCUGACCGGGAUCUCUAGGCAAUCGUAAUACAAACAGCGGUCAGGAGUUAGCUGGUCUUCAGAUCUAUUUAUAAGAACAAGCCUAAAAAUCUGACUAGUGUCUUAUUUACUGGGUCGUUAGGUUUAGAUGGUAUCGUUAACUCAAAGUAUAGAAAGACUUAAAAUACUUUAUUGCCUAAGAAGACACGCGGUAAAUUUGGAGAAGUAUAAAAGAGUAAAUGUUGCUUUGCAAUGGAAUGGGAACUUAGUUCGCGAAGCAGGGAUUCCAGGGAGGAAUCUACAGUAGGUUUGUAGGUUUGUACAGUAGUUCAAAUUCGUAUCCGUGCCUAAUGCUUUACAGGAGAACUUAGCACUUCUUUUGGCUCACUUUUACUACUAGAUUUAAAGGAUAUUUAAUAAAGUGUUUCCUGGUGGUCUAGUUUAUUGUUUGUGCGUUACUCUUUUAAUUUUAUAAUUUUAAUGUCUUCACUUUUUACGAGCUAGAAAUUGUCUGGGAAUAAGAUGAUAAUGCUCCUAGACAUUUAAAACAAUUCUUAUAAAAAGAAACCUGAUACAAAUCUAGAUAAUCUGCUUUGCAAGAUCUGGAAGAUAAAGAUUCAGACUAAAAUAGAUAAAUGUUCAGAUUUUUCAAUCCAUUUCAUCUCCUAGAAGGAUAAUCUGGUUCUGCUUUGUCUUCGGACCUAUGAAUCCAGCCUUAGUUUGGCUGAGAGUCUAAAGAAAACCCCAGAUCAAAUCACAGUUGACCUACAGUAGAUCUGGAACUCCAUUCAGACCCUAUACUGCCCCGUCUCUAAGGUUCUUCUAAAUCAAGAACAUUCCACAACCAGAAUCAAACUGGCUUUUGAAAGAAGGUUUCGUUUAUGAUAUGUGUAGCUUGUGUUGCUGCAUUUAUCAUUUGUUCUUUAGCAUGAAAAAAUUGUUAAAAUUUACACAUCAUAGUCAAUGGUAAACCACAAUGGUAGGCAUUACCAAGAUUUUAAUUCUUGAGUGAUGUCAUAGCUAUAAAAGAAUAUCAUCUUACCUCUUAGGACAUUGCAUUGCUGUUCAUGGAUUUUAAAGUGUAAAAAAUAAAGCAGUGAUAUAAAAAUCAAAGCUGUGAAAGUUAAAACAUUUUUUAUCGUUGAUUUUUUUUCCAUUAAAUUGUCAAGUUAUUUUUUAUAGGUUGAAGGUUUACUGCUAGCAUUAUUCAUACUUAAUAAAUUUGGUUUUUAGUAAGGUAUUGUGGAUCCUUAGUGUUAUCUUUAUUAAUAUAAUACUUCUAUGUAAUAAAAAUAAUUGCAUAUUUAACAUAGAUCAAGCUAGGAAGUGCAGUUUUAAUACACUUUUAAUACAGUUUUAAAAGCUUGGCAAAAAUAUGCAGAGUCAGUAAUCCUCUAAGUUAUAUGUACAUAGUUCAACAAGUUGAAGGUGCCAUUGAAUGUUUUAUUUAUAGUAUUUUGUCACUAGCAGAGAAAAAAUAAAAUUAGAACUUUAGAUAACAACUGUAUAUUUAACAUGAAAAUAUAGUGUUCUUUAAAAGGAAAGUUAGGUAUUCAAGAUAAACUUAUGCACAUUUAAUUGUGAAAUAAGACCCUUUCUUGGAUUACCCACUAAUAAUAGCUACUUUUACUCCAGAUGCCAGAAUGCGUGAAAAGUGCUUUUUUAAAAAAUUCAGUUGCUUCACAUGGUACUUUGGCAGUGUACUUGAUACUACAGAGUUGUGUGCUUUUUCUGUAGUAGUUUUUUCCAUUUGUGGUCUUAACAAAAACCAAUGGAAAGCCCUUUAGUAUGUGUAUGAAAGAGAAUUUUUCUUUCUGCUCUGAAAUAUAAUCUUCCUGUGGAGAGAUUCAGAUAUUUGUGGACAACCGAGAUCUUUCAAGUGUUUAUACUAACCUGCUUAUGUUACACUUUGUCCACAUGGAUCUAAACUGGAAAGGUGCCAGCUAUUUUCCUCAAAGCAUACUAUGGGUAAGGAUUAGCAAAAUAACCCAACUUUUUCAUCUAUAAGAAGUUUAUUUGUGCAAAAUCAUUUAGUAAGUAGGUUGCAGGAUUUUAAGGGGGAAAAUGUUAAGAGAAAACUCUGUUUUGUUAUAGAACAUGUUUAAUAAAAAAGCCUUGUUAAAAGGAUUUUUUAAAAAAGAGAAACUGUGGCUCAGUCGGUUAAGCGUCCGACUUCAGCUCCGGUCAUGAUAUCACGGCUCGUGGGUUCAAGCCCUGCAUCUGGCUCUAUGCUGACAGCUCGGAGCCUGGAGCCUGCUUCUGAUUCUGUGUCUCCCUCUCUCUCUGCCCCUCCCCUGCUCACACUCUGUCUCACUCUGUCUCUCAAAAAUAAAUACAUGUAAAAAAAAAAAAGAAACUGUUACGUGGGUUUUGAAAAUUAAACUGCCUUAUUGUAUAGCUUAAAAACAUUUUUUUUUUCAAAACACUUUUGAAUUUUCUUAUGUUAAUUGUGUAAGUUCCCCCUGAGAACUAGGUACUAGAAAUAAAAGUAGCAUUUCAUGAAUCAGUUUUUUUUGUUUUUAAAUUUAAGUUCGUAUAGGACUUAAUUUUUCUACCUUAGACUUUUCCUUUAGUAACCAAGUUAGGAAACUUCUAACCUUGAAAGAAUAUGUUACUCACAAUAGGAAGUUUUUCAGCUUAUUUUAACCUGUUUCGUCUCUGGAAGAAUUUGUUUACUGGUAAAGUAGUAGUUGCCUGACAUUUAUAUAACCCUUAGCAUUUACAAAUUGUUUCAUACUUUGCUUUAUUUCUGUAAUUAUAAAAACAGUAUUGUGUAUAAUUAGUGAAACAGUCCAAAGAUGUAUAACUCCUAAUCCCUGACAUCCCUUGCUUUUUCACACUUACUAAGGAAAUGCUGUUGCGUGACAAGCCAUAGCUCAGUGUAUUUUUACAAACGUAUUUCAUCAGGUCAUCUCAGCAGCUCUGUGCAAAACCAGUAUUAUUCACAUUUUAUUGACAAGAAAAGUUGAGGCUUAUGCAGCUAAUUUCAGGCCUGUGAUUAUUUAUCUGGUGUAACAACUGAUCCCGGUACUCAGGUCAAAGGAUUUCAGUAUUUAUGCUGUUAACCUAUUUCAUAAAAAUUUGAACUAGUAUGAUAGAGGUGGGUCAUUGGGGCAGUCCAGGGUCAAAGGUAAAUUUUUAAUCUUUCUGAGUUAUUUUCCUUAUCUGUAAAAUGGGGAUAAUGCCUUCUCUCUCCCCAGGAUUGUAGGGAAUAAUUGAAAUAAUGUAAUUAAAAUGUCUAAAAAUAGGCAAAGAAUGUUAACUCCCAUUGUCUUUGAUAUUUGAAAAUCCAGAUUAAAAAUAUGUUUUAUUUUUUUACUUUGUUAAAAAAAAUUUUUUUAGCGUUUAUUAAUUUUUGAGAGACAGAGCGUGAGCAGGGGAAGGGCAGAGAGAGAGGGAGACACAAAUCUGAAGCAGGCUCCAGGCUCUGAGCUGUCAGCACAGAGCCCAAUGCGGGGCUCAAACUCACAAACUGCAAGAUCAUGACCUCUGAGCCUAAGUCAACCGCUUACCCAACUGAGCCACCCAGGCGCCCCUAAAAAUAUUUUUUAAAUGAAAGAUUCACAUAAAUAGUAAACUUUUCUGGGGACUUAAAGUUUGAUUUUAUUUAUAAUCAGUUUGCAGAUAUGAUUUAUGUGAAGUAAGAUGAAGCUAUAUCAUUUUUCAGCAUUGGUGUAGAAGUGGAAAUAGGGUAGAAUUAAACUGUUUAAAAUAUUAAAAGCGUAGCUACAAGAUUUUUACCAGGCAAAGACAUUGAAUUAAUUAACCAGUAGAAUUGUAUAGAUGUGCAUUUCUCCUACAGGAAGCAGUAAAUAGCAAAGAACAGAAUGAAACUGGCUUUGAGAUUUAAGUGAAGAACUUCCUAAGUUAUCACUCAGAUUCUUUGUUGGUAUAUUCUUAGAAACUGGGUCCCACUGGAGGUAUCCAGGCCAGUAACAGUGAUGCUGAUUUGAAGUGCCUUGCUUACCUUUAGGGAAAGAUAUUUUUUCCCCUUGAGGUAUGUGGUCUUUUAGGGUAACUGGAACAAGAACACUGACAUAAUCUGAAGUUUUAUAACUACCUUAACUUUCUUGUGGGGGAGACAUUAUUAACUCUUUUUAAUGUUUAAAGGUCUUCUCAAAGUUAAUAUAAUUUUCUCUAAACCCAAAACCCCUUUUUAUAGUUGGGUUGGCCCUAAAGGAGAGUUGAAAUUCAUCUGAAUGUAUCAAGAGAAGUGUUUGUUUGCAAAGGCAUAUGACAUUUUUGUCAUUUUAGGACUGUUUUCUGAAAAUAAUGCUGUAUCUUCUGGAAGACUUAUUUUUUAAUUAAAAAAGUUUUUAAGGAUAUACUUAGAGAAAUUGAUAAUCUGGUAUCCAUUGCUGUCUUUCAUGUGAAAUUAUAUAGACUUAAUUCUCCAAUUAAGUCUAAUUUAACAUCUUCAGAAUUCCUAUUUAGGGUCAAAUUCCUUUUCCCCCCAAAUUUAUUACCUACUCUGAUUCUUAAUUGAAUUUUGGGUUAUUUUAUGAAGUGUCUAAUUGAAUAAAGUGAUAAUCCAGUAAAAUGUAUUUAGUUAAAAUAGUGUGAUCAUUGGGAUAGCGCACUAUCCUGUAAAUAGUAGACUAGUUGUCUUUCUGCAUCAUUGAUGACUCACAGUUGCUUUGGGCUAGUUGUUUAACCCCUUGGAGCUUCAGUUUAAUCAUUUUUAUUUGUAAGAAUAACAUUUUCCCUUGAUAAAAUCACGGAGAUGAAUUAGUCCCUCUUUGGAUGACAGAGACAAAUUAUAAACAAUGAUACAUUUGGGAAAUAGAUUUUUGUGCUUUAUUUUUGAAAUUUAACUUUUUAAAUUACAAAAAGCUGGUAAGGAGACUAACUUGUUUUUAUUUUUAUAUUUAGCACUCUGGAUCUCAACCCUGGCUGUAAACUUACAGAGCUUUAAAAAAAUAUCAAUGCCUAGGCCCACCCUCUAAGAGAUUCUAAAUUAAUUGGCCUAAGGUAGGACCCAGGCAUUUGUAUUUUUAAAAGCUCCCAGGGUGAUUCUAAUGUGCAGCCAGGGUUGAGAUCACUAAUUUAGCUUUAUCUGUCUAUUGAUUUAAUUCAUUAAUUGAGACUUUGUCCUUUUCUCUCUGAUACUCAUGGCUCAUUACCCAGCCUAUUUACAAUUCCUGCCCUCACUUCACCUCCUGCUAUUUACUUUUCACUCUCUUAACUUUGCUGCCCCCUGUGGCUGAUCAGCUGCUUUCCUGAAGAGAUGUUAGAUUCUGGAGUUUUAGGUAUGAGAUGAUUCUAUAGGAUUUUUCUGUGGUUACCAUAAUUAAAAAUUAUUACCAUUCUAUAUUAGGUGGUCUGUUUUUCUUUCCUCUGUGAUUUUGGAGCUGUGGCUGAAUAAAAUGAAAGUGAGAAAUAUCUUAGAGGUUUCCCUAGUUUUAAUCCCAUCGUUCAGGGUAACAUGAUGAUUCCAACCGCUCUGGCAUGUAAAACUGAUACUUGCCAUACACUAAAAGCAUUGUUCUGCUUCUUUAAGAUUUAAAACUAAGAUUCUAGUGUAUAUGUUGAAUAGUAGGUAGUAAACAAGUGAGCUAUUUUUUAACUUAACUUGAACUAUUUUGGGUUAUGUCUUGUAUGUAUUCAGCAACAAGAAAUUUUUUUUUGCACAGUAUUUUUACUUCUUGUCCUCUUGAUCUAAACUACAGCUUUUUAUUGAAGGUAGAGCAGCAAGGACCUGGUACCACUUUAUUUCAUAUCCCUAUUUUGUCUUUGACCUUUCUGCUAUUCAAUUUGAGUAAGACUUGUAUUUGUUGUUUUGAGUCAGUGUUCAGUUGUUAUGGAAUGAUAUUCUGUCUCCAGAAUGGUAAAAUGCUUUUGAAAGCAGAAGUCGUCUGUGUUUUCAUAUCCUGUUGUGGUACCAAAUACAGUAUUGUGUGUAUAGUAAUUGUAGCUAUGUAGUUAUAAUGAAUGUUUUGUCAAAGAAAUUACCUGUUGGUUGUCUGUUGACUCUCCUCCCUUAACGCUCCUCCCCCGACCCAGUUAUUGACUGCUUCUUUCAGUGUUGUUUGUUCACUGAUGUUUGAUGCUAUCAGUAGAUUGGUUCUCUUCUGUUUUGCUUUUUAUUUUAAUAUGUUUGUGUCUAAAUCUGGUUCCAAGUUUUUAAGCAAAAAAUUCUGGGCUUUUGAUACCAUGAUAGUAAAUGUAAGUUUAAAACAAAAGAUUGUUUGUUUUUGUAUUUUGUGCUUUGCAAAUGACUGGUAUAAGGGGCAUGAAACAUUAUUGAUAGAUUUCUUGCUAGGAAAGAUGUUAUGGAAGGUUUAUGUGGAACAGUAGUACUGGGUUGACUCUCAGAUGUGAACAUGUGUAUACAAACAUUGUAUAAAUUCAAAUAAUUAGUUUGCAGUAAUUUCUAAAUUUGAGUUGCAGUCUUUCUAAGGAUGUCCUUGAAGGAGAUGAAAGGAACAGAUUUUAAAUAUAUAAUUACUUUUAAUGCAUUAUUGUGUAAUGAGGAAUGUAAAUGCUUUGCUGAAAGAGUUUUACAUGACAGAAUAGGUUUAUGCAAAAUAAACUACUUGUCUGGGCAGGAUAUUGACUAAUAAGCAGGUUCAAACCUACUUUUUAAGUGUAUCUUUUGAACUCUUCCCUGAAGGAAUUUGUUUAUGUGGGCUUUUUGAGUGAGUGCUGGUGAAUUUUAGAAAUCUUGCAGUUUUGAUCAGAAAUCCUAAAGAAGUAUAUUAUGAUUUUGUGGAGGAGUAAUUUGCUGAAUAUGAUAGGCUCACAUGAUGAAAUUCAGAGAACCUGUUUGUAACUUGGACACCGACGGCAAGGGAUUUCUUGGGAACACACUCCUCCUACUGGAAUGGUGAUGCUAAUUGCAUCUACUAUAACCUGACCAUGAUGUUAUAUCUAGUUGAGCCUUCUGGUUCUGAAUGGGACCUCAGAAGUCAUUGUAGUUUAGCCUCCACUGGGAAUCAAUUUUGCUUUUUUUCAAAAUAAAUAGCUAUCUUGUCAUUUCCUUAGAGAAGCUUUCUUUAAUGUAGGGAGGAAACAUGGGGUUUUUAAGCUCCUAGAGGCUUUCUCGAUUUUGUUUAGUUAAUGAAUACACUGUAUGGACAUACCUAAAAAGAGGAUAAAUGUCUGAAACAGGAAUUUUUUAAUGACUGGACUUACUUUGUAAUUCAGGAGUAUCAAAUCUUAAACAUGGCUUCAAAAUUUUCUCUUUUCAAAAUUUUCUCAACAUUUUCUCUGUUAAUUAGUUUUGCCUGUUUCACACUCAAUUGGUAAAAGAAAUCUAGAAUUAUAGCUAUUAUCAGAAGUUAAAGAUUAUUUAAACAUAUUGUUAAUCCCAUGCCUUUAAAUCAAUAAAGUGAAAAAGACGGAACAGUUUUUGUUGUAAACUCUGAAUUUUGAUUAGCAAAACCGAGUGUUUCAACCAGACUUUUAUAAUAACACCUGCUGAAGCCAUAAGUAAAAUAAGAUAUGAUUUCUGUAGGAAUAUGUAUCUGCUUUAAAAGAAAAAAACUUACAGUACCAUUCUUUUAAUUGGCCAGAGGAAAAAGAUCUCGUUUACCUGCUGUUAAAACUAGAUACAUACUUUACUUUUUUUUUUUUUAAUUAAAUGUCUUUAGGAAAUUGUAGUUUGGUUGGGAAUAUAGACAUGUAAGCAGGCAGCUUCAACUACUAUCAUAAGUUUUGAAGGAAGAGUAAGCAGUAAGUGGCUAGGGUAGUGGUGUAAGGGGGACCCAGUCCAGUUUUGGUAUGUAAGGAGAGAGAUCAGGGAAAGUUUCCUAGAGAAAGUGACAGGUACACUGAGACCUAAAUGAUCUUCUUGUUCAGCCAAGAGAGAUGGGGUCCAAGAGGUCCACCUAAAGGCCAAUAUGUGCAGCCUCAGGGGUGAAUGAGCAUAGCCUAUUUGGGGAACUGCCAGCAGUCUAUGUGGCUGUGAUGAAGAGUGUUGUAAUAGGGAACUGAUUAGAGAAGACACUGGAGCAACAGUUAGGGUCUAGAUCAUAGUCUAAAUGCCAUGUAUUGCAUUUACUCCUCUGAAAGAAGCAUGAAGAGUAAUGGGUGUAAGAGAGAUGGGUGUAAGGAACACUAGUGAGGAUGCUGGCACAGUAAUGCAGACAAUAGAUGAAGGUGACCACGUCUAAGGCUGGAUUUGGUGAGAGGGAAGAACCAAUGAUGAUACAUUUCUAAUUUGGGCAGCUAGAGGCACGAUAGCAAUUUACUGAAAGGGAGAAAGAGGAAGAUCAGAUUUGGGAGAGGGCAAUGGUUUUUUUGUUGGACAGGUUGAAAUGCCUGUGGGAAAUCAAAUUGAAGCUGUCUAGUAGGAAGUUAGAUAUUUGGUUCCAGAGCUAAAUAGACCUAUGCUAGAGAUAACAGUUUGGGAGUCUUUAGAUUAAGAUUUUUUUUUUAAGUUUAUUUAUUUAUUUUGAGAGAGACAGCAUGAGUGGGGGAGAGGCAGAGAGAGAGGGAGAGAGAGAAUCCCAAGCAGGCGCUGCACAGUCAGUGCAGAGCCCAGCGCAGGACUCAAAACUCAAGAAACCGUGAGAUCAUGGACCUGAGGUGAAGCCCAGAGUCUAAGGCUAAGCCACCUAGGCGCCCUGGGAGUCUUUAGGUUAAAGGUGGCAUUUGAAAUGAUUUAAGUAGAAGCAACCACUGAAAAUGUGUAGAAAGAGAAGAGGUCAAGGAAUACCAUUAUUUAGAUGAUGAUCAAAGGAAAGGGGGUAAUCUCAAGGCAAGAGACAUAGCUUAAGUGGAGGCAAAGGAAGACAGGUAAGGGUAGAAACAAGUCAUUCAAGUGAUGAGAAUCUUUAAAAAUGGGGGUGGGGAACUAGUAACAUUGAAAAGAGCUAUUGACAAGUCAAGUAAGAGCUGAAAAGUUUCCAUGGGUUUAGUAAUCUGAGUAACAUUGGUGACUUGAGAGGCGUUUCAGAGGUUGAUAAGACUUGAAAUUUCUGUAAAGUGAGGAAUUAAUGGAAAUUGUUAAAGUCAAGUCAGUAAGUAGGACUUCUCUUUCAGGAAGCCUGACAGUUAGAAAAAAUAUAUCACUAGCUUUUGGGUGCAGAAUGGAUAUUGUAUCAGAACAAGAUUUUUAUAAGGAGGACUAGUUAGGAGGUUAUUUUACUGGGCAAGGGGAGACAUGGCGUGGCUUGGGCUAGGGGUGGUAGCAGCUGAAAUGGAGAGAAAGAGAGAGGUGUAUUUAAGAUGUAUCUUAGAUGGGAUAAUCUAGAUGGAAAACCUAGAGCUGUAUUUUGAAAUUUGACAUUUUGAGAUAUUCUUUUGGAAGUGUGAAUCACGGAGUGCUCAUUUGGUAAUUUCUAUGACUUCUAAACAUUAAUUACAAGAUUUUCAAGUUUGCCUUUUAGAAAAUGGUUAUAGUUUGAAAUGUUGGCUACUUGGUCUUCUGGCCAAAUAAGGUUUAUCUACUCACUUUUCAGUGGAAUGUCUGUGUACGCCAGAUGGUAUAUGUGUGAGGGAGAUCACAAAAUAUGUCGGGACAAGUGCAUGAGUGAGGUUAGAAUUACUUACGGCCUGUUUUCUGCCUUUAGACUGUAAGUAAAGUGCUCCAAGACCUGAGAUACGUAUCUUCUUCCCCAGCAAUUAGGUAGUCAGUUCUUGAUUUUAUUAUUUAUUGAAUGAAAUAAUGAAGCAAAAACUAUUAAAUUGACUUAAAGAAAAACACCAUUUUGUGUCAUGCAGUGAUUGACAGUUUUAUAAUGAUUGAUAACCAAGUCCCAUAGUGUUUACAUAUAGCACUAAAUUUAGCAUUUUGUUGAUGAAGAAAACAAAACAGGUAGGCUAUAUUUUUGUGCAAGUCAUUUAUAGCUCAGUAUCUUUUCAGUUGGUUAUUGAUUCUUCCUCUAUAAUAUUAAACUGAAAAUGUGUAUUGCCUGCACUAAAGCAAAAUUAACACCUUAUUUUCUAACAGUGCAAAGGAAAAAUAAUAGUAAUUGAGCCUUGUGAAGACUGAUUUCCUUUAGGUCCUGGGCAGGUAGACCAGUAGUGAACAUAGUUUUUUCUAAGAAUCUUCAAAGCAGAGGAUUUUUAUUUCUUAAAUUCUUCUGAUAUAGAAAUACUUCAUUGAUAUUCUUUGGAGUCUCCCUUUUAGCACCAUUCCUCCCUUUUUAAAGUAAUGUAAAAAUUUUUAUUGGAGAACAUUUGUUUUAUGAAUGUGUGCUGAGAAAUAAGAUGAAGGAACUUUUAAUCACUCAGCACUUUUGUCUGAGCUAGAUUUAUAAUAAGAAGUUAAGGUUAAAAUCUAUAAUUAGCAGCUUUGAGGAGUUAUUUUGAAAUAUCAAGAACCAAUCAGCCUGUCUACUUAUUUUUGCCUCUCUUUUGGAAAUGCUAUGUAUAUUUCACUCUCCCUUUAAGCUAUGUAGACACAGUUUUGAAAACUUGUAUUUGCAGCCACAUUAACAUAAUCUUUCUGAUCAUUAUUUCCCAAUUUGAGAGAGGAAAUAAAUUGAGCAAAACCGCUAAGUCUUGGAUAUAAAAAUCAGUUGGGCUAAUUCAUCUGUCACUUUACUGAUUUUAUUCUCCUGUAAAUGCUCCAGGAAAACAAAUUAGACGAUGUCAUCUCUUUUGUCCACAUACGUUUGUCCCAGUGUAUGAACAGCCUAAAUUUGAAUCCAGAGUGGAAAUAAAGUAGUAAAUGUAUCAAUGAAAUGCUUUCAAGGUGCAUUUAGUUUUAAUAGUCGUUUUUCUUUCAUAGGAAAUUUCUGUCAUUCAUGUAGGAAACUUAAAAAUAACCCUGCUUUUACCUAGCUACCAGGUAACCAGGCACUGAUUUUGGUAUUUCAUAUAUUUUGAUAUCCUGUUGUUAAUUUGGACUACAUGGAUGACCUUACACAUAACAUAUUUUGAUAUUUUGAGAACUGCUUUUUUUUUCUUUUUUUCUUUCUUUCUUUUUUUUAAGUCUGGAUAAGUAGCUUCUCCCGUGGAAUAGGAAUGACUAUUUUAGGAUACAAUACUUGCUGUGAGUCAUGAGUGAGUUUCAGUUUUCAUGGUUUUCUAAAAUAAACUCACUUAAGGACUGUGCAAUAAGAAAUGUCAUAUUCUUAACUACUCUGUCUUUAUGAUUUUUAUAAAAACUGAUAGACUGUUAAAUUUAAGUCAAAAAAGAAUCUUACAAAGGUAGAAAAUAAAAAUCCCCAGAGGAAACAUCGCUUAAAAUUUUGGGAAUCAUUCUCAUAUUUUCCUAUUAAGUGGUAUCACAUAAUGUAUGCUAUUCUGUAACCCAUUUUUACUUUAAUUGGAUAUUAUAAAUAGCAUACUUCUGAAAGGAAAACAGUAAAAUUAAUUUUUCAUUUUUAUUAUUUUUCAGUAGGCUUAAUCCCCAGCAUGGAGCUCAGUAUGGGGCUUGAACUCACCCACCCUGAGAUCAAGACCUGAGCUGAGGUCAGAAAUUGGAUGCUUCACCUACUGAGCCAUCCAGGCGCCUCUAAAAUUAAUUUAGAUUUGUUUCUGAAUAAAGUUUUUUAUUUCUGGAAAUACUAGAUCAAAUCACUUUAGACCUAGAAAAAUUCCUUGUAUAAAAAGGAGAGGAAAUAAUUUCUAAGACCACUGGUAUUUAAUUUUAGGGAGGUUAUACAUGGAUCUCUUUGAAAACCUGAUUAAAGAAAUGCAUCAUCUUCUCAGAAAAUAUCAUAUACGAUAUUGUAUGUAUAAUUUUAGGGUUCUUGGAUUCACCACCACCACAACCCUGAAGCCCAUCUAUGGCCUGGUGGUGGGGUGUUUGUAGACCUUAGGGCCUGUUUUCGAGAUUUGAACAGCCUCGUUAAGUCAGUAAUCCUUUUCCUUAACACGGGUAGCAGGUGUUUCUUAGGAGUUACAGGGAGGAGUAGCUGCCAGAUGGAACCUCAUCACAGCCAUGAAAACUGAAAAUAACUAUAGAGGCAUUGAUCUAAGAAGAUCUGUUUAAUACUUCUCAUCCCCCCAAAAUUCCAAAUGAAAAACAAAAUGCUUCUAAAAACCUGUUUUAUUUAAUGAAUAACAGGUUUUAUAUUCAAAUUGAAUUAAGCAAAAACAAUGUUUCAAAAUUUAUCACAGAAAAAAACAACAACCAAAAAACAAAUUGAAUUAAUCCCAUGACACGGAUAUUCCAUUUAUAGGCAUAUUUCAAAUUGCAGGUUUCAUAUUCAUAUUGCAUAUUCAUAUUGCAUAUUCAUAUUGCAGGUUUGCAGGUUUGGUUCCACCACAAUAAAGUAAAUAUUACAAUAAAGUGAGUGAAAUGAAUUUUUUUAUUUCCCAGCACAUAUAAAAGUUGUAUUAACACCGUACUGUAUUCUUUUAAGUGUGCAAUUGCAUUAUGGCUAAAAAGUAUGUACCUUAAUUUGAAAAUACUUUAUUGCUAAAAAAAAUGCUAAUCAUCAGCUUUCAGUGAGUCAUAAUCACUGAUUAUAACUCACCAUAACAUAAAAUAAUGAAAAAGUUUGAAAUAUUCUAAGAAUUACCAAAACGUGACACAGAGAUACAAAAUGAGCAAAUGCGGUUAGAAAAAUGGUGCCAAUAGACUUGCUCAAUGCAGGGUUGCCACAGACCUUCAGUUUGUAAAAACUGCAAUAUCUGGGAAGCGCAAUGAAAUGAGGUAUAUUCACAUACUCUUUCAGGAGUCUGCUUUUCAGUAUUCAGCUUGCUAAAAUUCCAGAUUUCUAUAUUCUAAGAAAUGCCCCAUAUUGGCUCAUCUUCAUUUCUUGUUCAUUUCUACUUUAUCAGAAGUUGUUUUUGAAGACAAAAGAUAACAAAGUUAAUUUUUUUGAGAUAAAAAUCAAACAGUGUAUUUUUAUCCUUCUAUAAUGCAAUGAUUGUGGAUAUAUUCACCUUUGAAUAGUAACGAAUAAAUCAUAGAAAUAUUUAUGUUCUUUAAAGUUCUAGUAGUCCAGUGGUUUUAUUAAAGUAAUAUUUGUAUAUUAGGAUUCAUUUUCAAAUUGGUAGGGUUCAUGUAUUCAAAUUUCCUAAAAGGUGAUGCCUCCAUUUUUUUCCGGCCAUUUUCAAUUUUAGUGAAAUCCUAGGUCCUAAACUAAGUCCUAUUUGCAAUGCUGUGAAUCAUUUGUUUAUAGAUGUUUCUAUUGUUCCUUUAUAAUAGUUUGAUCCUCUAAAGUUUCAAAUAAAAGCUGAAUUUAGAGUCUCAGUUAUUAAUGUUCUAGGAGUAUUGCCAAAAAAAGCUACAUGUCCUAUAUUCUGUGCCAGUUUCUUAAAUUAGAAUCUUGGAUUGCAUCCUCAGCGUGUCACUGUAGUGGUAUUGCUGGGUUGCUAUGAUACAGUGCUUGUUCUAUAAUUUGUAGCAUGAAUCCUAUAUGAGAUCCUACUUUAGAUUUCUAAAAUGUGAGCAGCACUAAUUGGAAAUAUCCAUUUUUCCUUUAAGGAAAAUUAUACUUAUAAAACUUCUGUUACAGAUUAUGAUACUUGAUACUUAAAACUAUUUGUUCUUAAAGGUAAAAUAGAUUAACAAUCAACAACUUGAAAUAAUUUGGUUGUCCCUAAGAAAUUUAGUUUAUUACAUUUUUAUGAAAAUGGGCAAGAAAAGGAAGGUUUUAUGAUAAUGAAUAUUGAAAUUUCACCAUUCUACUUGAUAUUUGAGGUCUUAAGAGAAAUAAAUAUAAACUAUAUUUUCUGGUAACAUGAAUUUGAGACAGUGAUCAAAUCUACAUUACACAGGAAAGCUCCACAAAUUAUCUUACCCUAUGGAAUUUAUUUUUUUUAUUCAGUGAACUGUUCUUAAAACCAACCUAUGUAGUUCUGUUGAUAAAAUAUUAUUAAUUCUUAUUUUAUGAUGUGGUUUUUGUGUUUUCAUUUACAUGUUCUGUAUAAAUAAGUUAGAUGGCAUAAAGACCAACGGUAUUCUAGGCAUGUGUUGUAUAUACAUUUGGGGUAGAAUGAAAUUUUUAUGAUUAUUGGUUAGUGGCAUUUGAUCUUUAAACCACAGCUGAUCUUUAAACUUUCACUGUCUUUCAGUAAUGUUUUGCAUAUUUAGCAUGAAAAUAUUUUAGAGACCAGGACUGAACUAAAAAUUUUAACAGCUUUAUUGAGAUAUAAUUCAUAUACCGUGCAAUUCACCCAUGGCUUUUAGUAUAUGUACAGAUAUUUACAACCAUCACUACAGUCAAUUUUAGAACAUUUUCAUAAUGUCAGAAAGAAAUGCCAUAGCAUUUAACUAUUACUCCUCGCCUCACUCAUCCCCUACUCUAAGCAGCCACUGAUCUACUUUCUGUCUCUAUACUCUUUCUGUCUUCUCUCUACUUUCUGUUCCUGUUCUGGACAUUUUAUAUGAAUGGGAUCAUAUAUAGUCUUUUGUAAGUCUUUUAUAUCACUGGCUUCUUUUCACCUAACAUAAUAUUUUCAAUCAUGUGGUAGCAUGUAUCAGUAUUUCAUUCCUCUUAUGGCUGAGUAAUAAUCUAUUGUAUGGCUUUAGUACCAUAUUUUAUUUGUCCAUUCAUCAGUUGAUGGACAUUUGGAUUUCCACCUUUUGGUUAUUAUGAAUAAUGUUGCUGUAAACAUUUGUGUACAAGUUUUUGUGUGAGCAUAUGUUUUAAUUUCUCUUGGGUGUAUACCUAGAAGUAGAAUUUUUGGGUCACAUGUAAUUUUGUGUUUAAUUGCUUGAGGAACUGCCACACUUGUUUUCCACCAUGGUCAUGCUAUUUUACAUUCCUACCCACCAGUUUAUGAUCUCUGCAUACCCUCACCAACACUUAUUACUCUGACGUUUUUAAUACAGCCAUCCUAACAGGUAUGAAGUGUGAAAUUUUUGUGGUUAUGAUUUGCAUUUCUCUAAUGACUAAAGAUGUCAAGCAUCUUUUAAUGUGCUUUUUGGCCAUUUGGUGUAUCCUCCUUGUAGAAAUGACUCUUCAGACCCUUUGCCCAUUUUUUAAUUGAGUUGUCUUUUUAUCAAGUCGUAAUGCGCCCCUGUCUUUGCACUUUCUUAAUGGUAUCCUUUGAAGUGCAGAUGGUUUUAAUUUUGAUAAAAUCCUAAAUUAUCUUUUUUUCUUGUUCCUCAUGCUUUUGGUGUCCUAAAAAUCUUUCCCAAAUCUGAUGUCAUUAGAUUUACCUUUAUGUUUUCUUCUAAGAAUGUUAUAUGUUAGCCUUUACAUUUUUAGGUCUUUGAUGUAUUUUGAGUUCAAGUUUUGUAUGGAAUGUGAUAUAACAGUUCAGAUUUAUUCUUUUGCAUGUAGCUAUUCAGACGUCCUAGCACCAUUUGUUGAAAAUACAUUUUCCCCAUUAGAUAAGGAAACUUGUUGAAAACUUGUUUAACUUGUUCAAAAUCAGUUGGCACAUGGUUUUAUUUUUGGGAUUUCAGUUCUAUUCCACUGAUCUGUAUUCUAUUGUUUUAUCAGUACCACACUGUCUUGAUUACUUUUGGUUUGUGUAGUACAUUUUGAAAUGGAAAAGUCUGAGUCUUCCUACUUUGUUCUUUUUCAAGAUUGUUUUGGCUAUUCUGGCACACUUGAAAUUGAAAGAAUUAGGUUACUGAUCUGAGAUUUUUAUUUGUUUUUCUAUAGGUAUUUACAGGUAUAAAUUCCCUUCUAAAUACUUUUUAGCUACAUCCCAGAUGUGUUAGUAUGUUAUGUCUUCAUUUUCAUUUGUCUCAAAAUAUUUUCUGAUUUUUCCUUUGGUAUCUUCUUUGAUACAUUAGUUAUUUAGGAGUGUGUAUGGUUUAAUUUCUGCAUAUUUGUGAUUUUCCCAAUUUGUUUUCUGUUACUGAUUUAUAAUUUCAUUCUACCAUGGUCGAGGAUAUACUUUGUGGUAUUUCUGUUUUUACUUUUUUUGAGGUAGUUUUAUAACUUGGCAUAUGGCCUGUCCUGGAGACUGUUCCAUGUGCACUUGAGAGUAUGUAUUCUGCUGUUGUUGGCUGGAGAAUUCUAUAGUAAAUAUAAAUUCCUUAGUGUUCUAUAGAAGUCUGUUAGAUCUGGUUAAUUUAUAGUGUAAGCCUUGUAUUUCCUUGAUCUUGUGUCUAGUUGUUCUAUCCAUUAUUAAAAAUGAGAUAUUAUGGGGCGCCUGAGUGGUACAUUGCAUUAGGCAUCUGACUCUUGAUUUCGGCUUAGGUCAUGAUAUCAUGGUUUCAUGAAUUCGAGCCCUGUGUAGGACUCUGUACUGACAGUGUGGAGCCUGCUUGGGACUCUCUCUCCCCUCUCUCUCUGCCCUUUUCCCACUCGUGCGCACUCUCUAAAUAAAUGAACAUUAAAAAAAAAAUUUUUUUUUUUAAUGAGAUCUUGAAGUCUCUCUUGUUGAAUUGUCCAUUUCUUUCUUCACUUCUUUUAGUUUUGCUUUAUAUAUUUUGGAACUGUUAGUAAGUGCACAUAUUUUGUAAUUGUUGCAUCUUAGUCAUGAAUUGACCCUUUCAUCAUAAAAUGGAUCUCUAUCUCUAAUACAAUUUUUUUGUUUGUUUUAAAAUCUGUUUAUCUGAUAUCAGUAUACCACUCUAGCUUUCUUGUGUUUGCAUGAUAUAUCACUUUCCAUCCUUUUCAGUCUAUUUGUGUCUUUGAAUCUGUAACUUGUUAUGGGGAGAAGAGCAUAUAAUUAGGUCUUUUUUAAUUCAGUUUGAAAUCACUGCCUUUUGACUGGAUUGUUUAAUCCAUUUGUAUUUAAUGUUAUUUGUUGAUAUAGUUGGAUUUAUGUCUGCCAUUUUACUUUUUGUUUUCUGUGUCUCGUGCCUUUUUUGUUCUACAUUCUUCCUUUACUGUUUUCUUUAGUAUUAGGUGAAUAUUUUUCACAGCAGCAUUUGUUUGUUUAAUGAUUUUUUAUCACAUCUUUUUGAGUUUAUUUUUAGUGGAUGCCCUUGGGCUUAUCAUGUAUAUAUUUAUUGGAAUCAACUUCAGAUUUAUAUUAGCUUAUUUCCCGUGAGAUAUGGAAACAUUACUUCUGUAUUCGUGUAUUUCCUUUUCCUCCUUUUUAUGGUGUUGUUAUUCAGUUACAUUUAUUGCGCCCCAACCAAUAGUGUUUUAUUGUACUUAAUGCUUUAUCAUCAUUCAUUCAUUAGCCCAGUACAUGUUUGCUUCCACCCAUCUCCUUUGUGCUGUUACUGGCAAAUAUGUUAUAUUUCUAUAUAUGGUAAUAACCUAAUUAUAUAUUUAUAAUAUAUAUAUUAUAUAUAUGUGUAUUUAUAUUACUUUAUACAUUGGGGUUUUUUUGAAUCAGCUAAGAGAAAAAAGAAAAUAUAUGCAUUUAUACUUCCUUUUAUAAUUACAUAAUUUACUGGAGUUCUUUGUGGUUUCUUUGUGGAUUGGAAUUACUUUCUGUGGUUAUUUGCUUUCAGCCUGAUGGAAUUUCUUUAAUGUUUCUUGUAAGGCAGUCUGGGUAGCCUCUGAGUUUUUGUUUAUUUGGGAAUAUCUUUAUUUUGCCUUUUUUUUUUUUUAAGUUUUCUUUAAUGUUUAUUUUUGAGAGGGAGAGUGCAUGAGCAAGGGAAGGGCAGAGAGAGAGAAAGACACAAUUCAAAGCAGUCUCCAGGCUCUGAGAUGUCAGCACAGAACCUGAUGUGGGGCUCGAACUCAUGAACCUAUGAGAUCAUGACAAUUAACUCACUGGGCCACCCAGGUGCCCCUGCCUUCAUUUUUGAAUGAUAGCUUUGCUGGAUAUAGGAUUUGGGGGUGACAGGUUAUUUUGUUUGUUCUUUUUGAGCAGUUUGAAUAUGUUACUCUGCUGUUUUCUAGCCUCUACUAUUUCUACUGAGAAAUUAACCAUUAAUGUUAGCCCUUGUAAGUGACUAGUUGUUUUUCUUUUGCAGCUUUCAAGAUUUUUCUCCUUGUCUUUGACUUUCAGCACUUUUAUGGUAUAUCUGUGAAUCUCCCUUGUAUUUUUCCUUCUUAGAGUUGUUGAGCUUUCUGGAUAUGCAGCUUAAUGUUAUUCAGUAAAUUUGGGAAGUUUCAGUCAUGAUUUCUUCAAAUAUUUUUUUCUGCUUCUUUCUUUUUUCUCCUUUUAUGUGCAUGUGGUACACGGUGUCCCACAGAUUGAAGUUCUGUUCAUUUUUUUAAAUGUUUUUAAAAUUUAUUUUGAGAGAGAAAGAGCAUUCAUGAGUAGGGGAGGGGCAGAGAGAGGGAGAGACAGACAGAGGAGAGAGAGUCCCAAGCUGGCUCUGUACUGUCAGUGCAGAGCACAAUGUGGGGCUCAUUCUCACAAACUAUAGGAUCAUGACCUGAGUCGAAAUCAAGAGUCAGACACCUAACUGAGCCACCCAGGUGUUCCUGAAGUUCUGUUCAUUUUUAUUCACCUCUUUUUCUGUAUUCAGAUUUCAUAGUCUGUAUCAAUUUAUCUUCAAACUUCCCUAGUUCUUUCCUCUGCCAAUUCACAUCAGUUGAGUCCUUCUAGUGAGUUUUUCAUUUUGUUAUUGUACUUGGCAAUGCAGAAUCUUCUUGUUUCUCUCUUUCUUUUUCUUUUUUUGCAAAGUCUGUUUCUAUUGACAUCCUUUAUUUGAUGUGACAUUGUCAUAUCUUCUUUACUUCAGCGAUGGUUACCUUCAGUUCUUUGAAUAUAUUUAUAAUGGCUGCUUUGAAGUCAUUUUCUCUUAAAUCCAACAUUGGGUUGCUCUCAUAGGCAGUUUCUAUUGCCUUCUCUUUUUUCCCCUUGGUAUAUGGGACAUACUUUCCUGUUUCUUUGUGUAUCUUGUAAAUUUUUUGUUGUUGUUAACUGAACACUUUAGAUAAUGUACUUAAUAUAUUAUAGCAGUACAAUACUGGGUACUUGUCCCACCCCUCAGAGCUUAUUGUUGUCACUUACUUGUUUAGUGACUGGGUCUAAUAUUGUUCCUUAAAGGAUGCAGCUUUAGGUAUGCCAGUAGUCACCCUGAGAUGAACGUGCUUUUGACAGGGCUCUCUUUAUGUUUUCCUAACAACACCCCCAGCUUUAAAUUCUAGUGACUUCCAGCUUGUUUAAUUGUUCUCAACAAUGCUCUGGGGCAUAAAUUGUUCUAAUUUUUUUCUGACUAAUCUAGUCAAAUUCAGGCUUUUUGGAAGGAAUAGUUCCUGAGGUCAGUGUCUGAUAUUUGUUCUAACACCAGAGUGCUCCUCCAAGCUGUUUCUUUCCCUGGUAUUCUGCGUACUAGCUGACUAAAGCCUAUUUUCUCAGUGAAUUUACAAAUCUUCCCAUUGCCAUUCACUAUAACCCCCACUGUUUUUGAGAACACCCCUAACCUUGAACUUUUCUAUGCUGUGUUGCAAAAGAAGUCAUUUCCUUUGGGAAGAGACAUAACAGCUGUUUUAUGUCUUGCUCCCCCCCCCCCCCGCCCCCCAGGCAAAUUUUUUGAGUUAGGACUCUGGAGCUGGGGAUAGGGACAAUGGCAUGCUUCUCUCUGAAUGACACCCUACUUCAGGAGCUGAGCAGAAGGUGGAGAAGGAGCAUUAGCCUAAGAUCUUUUUGGCUUGCCUCUUCCAGCAUGGAAGCACCUACAGGCUAGGACUGAGAUAAUGAUAGCCCCAGUAUUCUCAGUGGUACUGCACCAGGGGUAGAGCCUCUGUCCGUGAGUGGAAGUUGGGCAAAAGAAGGGAGCCCUUCUUCUUAAUUGCACUGGCCCAGAACUUAAACUCAGUAAUAGGUAGUUGUGGGCAGGGUGAGAAAUGCCAACAUCAUGCUCCUCACCUAAGGAAAGCUGCCUGAUCAAGAUCUGGUAGUAAAGGGGUCCUUGUGUUCUUGGCUGCCUCCCUCCAGAGUGGAGUUUCUGCUUAGCUAAGCCGAGAGGAGAGAGGCACUUUGUUCAGAUACCACACAUUCUUGCCGUUCUUCAUAAAUUUUCAUAAGUAUUCUUGGAUAGAUGUUUCCUCAUUUGCUGCUUACCUUAGGGCCAUUUCCAGAAGCUUUCAAGGUUUAAAAAUUAUUUUCAUCUGUUUCACUGGAGUGCAGGUCUGUGGAGCUUUUACCUUGUCUUGCUAGAAGUUGAACUUCCUGUAGACUAAAAUUUUAGCUUCUUUUGUAGUAAUAAUUAGUACCUUUCUUUUAUCUAGGAAUUUAUAGCUUUCAAAUAUAUAAUCAUGCCAAUACGUUUGAAAACUUAAAGGAAUUGGGAAAAUCCCUUGAAAUAAACAGCUUUCUGAAACUGACACAAGAAGAAACAAAAAUCUAAACAAGUCUUAAUACCUACUUAAUUGAAUCGUAAUUAAGAACUGUGACAAAUGGGGUAAAUGAGUGAUGGUCAUUAAGGAGGGCACUGCUGGGAUGAGCACUGGGUGUUAUAUGUAUGUGAUGAAUCAUUAGAUUCUACUCCUGAAGCCAAGACUACACUGUAUGUUAUCUAACUUGAGAACUAAAAAAAAGAAGAAAGAAAAAAGAACCUUGACAAGGACAUUACAACAACAACAAAAUGCAAAGAUGCAAAAAUGUUAUACAGAAUAUUUACAAAUUGAAUUUAGCAACAUAUAAAUAGGAUGAUACAUCAUGAUCAUGUGGGAUUCAUGCCAGAAUCCAGGAUAGCUUUUACAUUCAACAAUGACUUGCUAUGUAAGCAAAAGAAACAAGUUGUAUCAUCACUUCAAUGUAAGUAGAAUAAUAGAAAUUCCUUCUCUGUAUAGUUCCUUUCUCUCUAGUACUUUAACCUGUAGAUUCCAGCCACUUCAUUAGCCCUGAUUUCCACUUUGUAUUUAGCUCAGCAAGCCUGUUUGCUAUUUUGAGUCUUCUCCCUAUGGUGCAGUCUGGAAAGUGCUAACAGAGAGCUUAUGUGAUUGUGGGCUCACUCUGUUUCCCUUCUCUUAAGGAUCACAGUCCCAUAUUGCGUGUUUUCCAGCAUCUGCAAACAGUUAUUUCACAUAUUUUCUCCAGUUUUUAGUAUGUUACAGUGGAAAGUCUAGCCUGCUGGAAGCAGCAGUGUUGCCCACACUUUUUGUUAUUUUUGAAUCCAAUGGGUAUGGAGUGAUGUAUUUCACACGUAAAUUCAUAUGUAUGGUUUAUACAUAUUAACAUUUUUCUGCUUUCCAGUGUGGUUGAAUGUCAUUUCAUACGUUUAUUGAUCAUUUUGUUUCAUGUGCUCUUUUCUAUAGAUUUGUCUUUUUCUUAUUGAUUUAUAGAUGUUCUUUUGUGAAUUCUGGAUGCCAGUCCAGAGUUGGUUAUAAAAUUAAAUGUUUCACACUUUACCUAGUCACGUUUAGUCUUUUAGUUCUCUAAAAGAAUUAAUUUUUAUAAAUGGUGUGAAGGAGGGAUCUAAUUUUUUUUCCAUAUGAAUAACCAAUGGUCCUACCAUAAUUUAUUAAAUUAAAAAAUUCACUACUGACAUUAAAAAAAACCCAACUCUAUUAUAUAUUAAUCUUCUGUAUAUGUACCCUAGUAUAUUCCUAGGUACCUUAUUUUUUUCUUUUCCGGUGGUCUUUUUGUCUAUUCCUGUCUCAAGUCGUGUAGUUUUAAUCACUAUAUGUAGUAAGGUUAGUCUUCCCUUCUUCAUCUUAAAUAUCAGCUUGGCUAUUCUUGGCUCUUCAUUUUUCCUGAUGAAUUUUAAGAGCAACUCUUCAGGUUCCAACAAAACACUGUCAAUUGAGUGCAGCAUCAUGUUACAAUCCAAAAUGCUUUCUCUGUAUAGAUUGAGGAAGAUGUCUUCUCAUCCAUGAAUAAUUCUAUAUCUGUUAUUUAUUUCUUUUAUAUAUUUCAUAAAAGUUUUGUAAUUGUCUUCAUAAAAGUCUUUCUUGUCUUUUGUUAGAUCUCUCAAAUUACUUGCCCCGGGAACCCAGUCAACAUAUUGUGAGGAAGGUUAGGCCACAUGGAGAGGUCACAUGUGGUGUUUCUGGCACUAGCCCCUGCUAGACCUUCAUUCAAAAGCCUGAAUUAACUAUCAACACAUAUACGAGUGAUUUAGCCUUCACAGAUUUCUCCCUCUAAGUUUUCUAGUUUUCUAGCUAAGGCCUUAGACUUCAUGGAACAGAGAUAAGUUGUCCCUGCUAUGUUCUGUCUGAAUCUCUGACUUAAAAAAACUGUGAUAGAUAAUUAUUGUUUCAAGCCACUAAAUUUGGAAUGAUUUGUUACUAAGCAAUAGAAAAUUAAAACACCAGACAUCAUUCUGAUAAUGAUCUGGCUUCUCCUGUAGGUCUGCUUAAGGAACACAUAACUGGAAUAUUCUAAUAUGGUACAUGGAGGAAUAAUUUCCCAUCACAAAUUAAUAAAUUGGCAUUUAUUACUAAGUCAUGAACCUGGCUAAUUUACAUUUGUACUGUGUAUGAUUUAGUGGUACAGUUUUCCUAAAUAAGUUUUACAAACUGACACUAAAGAGUAUAGUUAAAACUUUCUCACCACAUUUUCUUAAAGAUUCUAAUUUAAUCUUCAAAAAAUUUUUACAAAGUUUGCUAAUAUCAGACAAAGUAGUGUAAUCAACCAGAGUAUAUACCCAACUACAUAGGCAUUAUUUUU
This is a long non-coding RNA of Acinonyx jubatus (cheetah), 22578 nucleotides long. RefSeq lists it as uncharacterized. Lineage: Eukaryota; Metazoa; Chordata; Mammalia; Carnivora; Felidae. The record is from RefSeq and is a predicted model, not a curated record. The transcript is spliced from 3 exons.